CGUGGGUAACCUGCCCAAGAGAUCGGGAUAACACCUGGAAACAGAUGCUAAUACCGGAUAACAACAGAUGAUGCCUAUCAACUGUUUAAAAGAUGGUUCUGCUAUCACUCUUGGAUGGACCUGCGGUGCAUUAGCUAGUUGGUAGGGUAACGGCCUACCAAGGCGAUGAUGCAUAGCCGAGUUGAGAGACUGAUCGGCCACAUUGGGACCGAGACACGGCCCAAACUCCUACGGGAGGCAGCAGUG
This 246-nucleotide ribosomal RNA is filed under the name uncultured Lactobacillus sp. RNAcentral's name for it is "partial 16S ribosomal RNA". It matches the Rfam family "Bacterial small subunit ribosomal RNA", at positions 116 to 356 of the family's 1533-position model. The record is from RNAcentral. Lineage: Bacteria; Bacillati; Bacillota; Bacilli; Lactobacillales; Lactobacillaceae.